Molecule: ribosomal RNA, 468 nt
Filed under: uncultured bacterium
Lineage: Bacteria
Description: partial 16S ribosomal RNA
Rfam family: Bacterial small subunit ribosomal RNA
Source: RNAcentral
GACGAACGCUGGCGGCGUGCUUAACACAUGCAAGUCGAACGGAAAGGCCCUGCUUUUGUGGGGUGCUCGAGUGGCGAACGGGUGAGUAACACGUGAGUAACCUGCCCUUGACUUUGGGAUAACUUCAGGAAACUGGGGCUAAUACCGGAUAGGAGCUCCUGCUGCAUGGUGGGGGUUGGAAAGUUUCGGCGGUUGGGGAUGGACUCGCGGCUUAUCAGCUUGUUGGUGGGGUAGUGGCUUACCAAGGCUUUGACGGGUAGCCGGCCUGAGAGGGUGACCGGCCACAUUGGGACUGAGAUACGGCACAGACUCCUACGGGAGGAAGCAGUGGGGAAUAUUGCACAAUGGGCGGAAGCCUGAUGCAGCAACGCCGCGUGCGGGAUAACGGCCUUCGGGUUGUAAACCGCUUUCGCCUGUGACGAAGCGUGAGUGACGGUAAUGGGUAAAGAAGCACCGGCUAACUACGUG